UGCACAACAGCUAGCCCCACCCCAAGAGCAACAACCCCAUAUAAAUACCCCCGAAUACCCUAGACAACAACCAAACAAACCAUUUUACCCCCUAAGUAUGGGCGACAGAAAAGGACAAUAGGAGCUAUAGAGAAAGUACCGCAAGGGAAAGCUGAAAGAGAAAUGAAACAACUCAUACCAGCACAGAAAAGCAGAGUUUACACCUCGUACCUUUUGCAUCAUGAUUUAGCCAGAAAAACUCAAGCAAAAAGAAUUAUAGUUUGACACCCCGAAACUACGUGAGCUACUUCAAGGCAGCUUAUUUAUAGAGCAAACCCGUCUCUGUGGCAAAAGAGUGGGAAGACCUUCAAGUAGAGGUGAUAGACCUACCGAACCUAGUUAUAGCUGGUUGUCCAAGAAAUGAAUAGAAGUUCAGCCCCAUGCUUUCCCUCGCCUCUCAGUGCCACUCCAUCAGUCACAAGGAAAACAUGGGAGUUAAUCAAAGGGGGUACAGCCCCUUUGAUAAAAGAUACAACUUUCCCAGGAGGGUAAAGAUCACACACAUCAAGGCACGAUGCACUGGUGGGCCUAAAAGCAGCCAUCCUGUUAGAAAGCGUUAAAGCUCAAGCAUCUCCCCUGCCUUUAAUCAGGAUAUACAAUCUUAACCCCCUAAAUGUAUUGGACCAUCCCAUUCGAAAAUGGGAGAGACUAUGCUAAUAUGAGUAAUAAGAGAAGCAAGAUUCUCUCCCUGCACACGUGUACCUCGGAACGAACCUGCACCGAACCUUAGCGGCCCCAACAGAAGAGGGAAAUGGGUAAUAAGUACGAUCACCAAGAAGAGCCCCCAACAACCAACCGUUAACCCUACACUGGUGUGCCUAAUGGGAAAGACUAAAAGGGAAAGAAGGAACUCGGCAAAACACAUUAAGCCUCGCCUGUUUACCAAAAACAUCGCCUCUUGCUAAAACCGAAGAAUAAGAGGUACUGCCUGCCCUGUGACCAUAGGUUUAACGGCCGCGGUAUUUUGACCGUGCGAAGGUAGCGCAAUCACUUGUCUUUUAAAUGAAGACCUGUAUGAAUGGCAAGACGAGGGCUUAACUGUCUCCUCCCCCCAGUCAAUGAAAUUGAUCUUCCCGUGCAGAAGCGGGAAUACAAACAUAAGACGAGAAGACCCUAUGGAGCUUUAGACAUAAGGCAGCCCAUGUUAAACACCCCUGACAAGGCCUCCAAACAAAAUGGACCCUCCCCGAAUGUCUUUGGUUGGGGCGACCGCGGGGAAGUAAACAACCCCCACGUGGAAUGGGAGAACCCCUCCCAGAACCGAGAGCAACAGCUCUAAGCAACAGAAUUUCUGACCAUUAUGAUCCGGUACUACCGAUCAACGGACCGAGUUACCCUAGGGAUAACAGCGCAAUCCCCUUUCAGAGUCCCUAUCGACAAGGGGGUUUACGACCUCGAUGUUGGAUCAGGACAUCCUAAUGGUGCAGCCGCUAUUAAGGGUUCGUUUGUUCAACGAUUAAAGUCCUACGUGAUCUGAGUUCAGACCGGAGUAAUCCAGGUCAGUUUCUAUCUAUGAAGCAACUUUCUCUAGUACGAAAGGACCGAGAAAGUGAGGCCCAUGCUCUCAGCACGCCUCCCCCUUACCCAAUGAAGUCAACUAAAUUGGACAAAAGGGCGCACCCAUUUGCCCAAGAUAAUGGCAU
This 1682-nucleotide ribosomal RNA is filed under the name Fistularia petimba (red cornetfish). RNAcentral describes it as "16S ribosomal RNA". It matches the Rfam family "Bacterial large subunit ribosomal RNA". Lineage: Eukaryota; Metazoa; Chordata; Actinopteri; Syngnathiformes; Fistulariidae. The record is from RNAcentral.